Molecule: ribosomal RNA, 396 nt
Filed under: uncultured bacterium
Lineage: Bacteria
Description: partial 16S ribosomal RNA
Rfam family: Bacterial small subunit ribosomal RNA
Source: RNAcentral
AUACGGAGGGUGCAAGCGUUAAUCGGAAUUACUGGGCGUAAAGCGCACGCAGGCGGUUUGGUAAGUCAGAUGUGAAAUCCCCGGGCUCAACCUGGGAACUGCAUCUGAUACUGGCAGGCUUUAGGCCCGCAGAGGGGGGUAGAAUUCCAGGUGUAGCGGUGAAAAGCGUAGAGAUCUGGAGGAAUACCGGUGGCGAAGGCGGCCCCCUGGACGAAGACUGACGCUCAGGUGCGAAAGCGUGGGGAGCAAACAGGAUUAGAUCCCCUGGUAGUCCACGCCGUAAACGAUGUCGACUUGGAGGUUGUGCCCUUGAGGCGUGGCUUCCGGAGCUAACGCGUUAAGUCGACCGCCUGGGGAGUACGGCCGCAAGGUUAAAACUUAAAGGAAUUGGCGGGG